This 719-nucleotide ribosomal RNA is filed under the name uncultured bacterium. RNAcentral describes it as "bacterial SSU rRNA". It matches the Rfam family "Bacterial small subunit ribosomal RNA", at positions 126 to 887 of the family's 1533-position model. The record is from RNAcentral.
AUGCCCUUCACCACGGAAUAGCCUCUGGAAACGGAGAGUAAUACCGUAUGCGCCCUUCGGGGAAAGAUUUAUCGGUGAAGGAUUAGCCCGCGUCUGAUUAGAUAGUUGGUGGGGUAACGGCCUACCAAGUCGACGAUCAGUAGCUGGUUUGAGAGGAUGAUCAGCAACACUGGGACUGAGACACGGCCCAGACUCCUACGGGAGGCAGCAGUGGGGAAUCUUAGACAAUGGGCGCAAGUGAUCUAGCCAUGCCGCGUGAGUGACGAAGGCCUUAGGGUCGUAAAGCUCUUUCGCCAGGGAUGAUAAUGACAGUACCUGGUAAAGAAACCCCGGCUAACUUCGUGCCAGCAGCCGCGGUAAUACGGAGGGGGUUAGCGUUGUUCGGAAUUACUGGGCGUAAAGCGCGCGUAGGGGAUUGGAAAGUUGGGGGUGAAAUCCCGGGGCUCAACCCCGAACUGCCUCCAAAACUAUCAGUCUAGAGUUCGAGAGAGGUGAGUGGAAUUCCAAGUGUAGAGGUGAAAUUCGUAGAUAUUUGGAGGAACACCAGUGGCGAAGGGGCUCACUGGCUCGAUACUGACGCUGAGGUGCGAAAGUGUGGGGAGCAAACAGGAUUAGAUACCCUGGUAGUCCACACCGUAAACGAUGAAUGCCAGACGUCGGGGGGCUUGCCUUCGGUGUCACACCUAACGGAUUAAGCAUUCCGCCUGGGGAGUACGGUC